UGACUGUGCUCAAAGUAUGCGGCUGAUGCGGUUUUGGUCUGUUGUGCCUUUUGUGAAAUUUUCCCCUGGGAAAGAGGCUGACUGUCAGGUCCCAGCAGAAAGAGACAGCCCCACUCUGAUCUGCAUCAGGAGGUGUCUUGUAUUGCCCCAGAGAAAAGUGUAUCCCGAUCUUACUGUACUAGGAACAAAGUGCUGCUGCAGAAUUUCAUGUGUCAUACAGGCAUCAGCAAACACAUUCUGUCCAUUAACAGACCAUGUUUUAGUCUCAGCUUUAAAUCAGAGAAGAAGAUCCUUUUCUACCACAAUCACAAGGGAUCUGAAGGACUUGGAAAUCACCACUUAGAAACCUGCACUCCUACAGGGACAGUGCUUGUGAAAAUGAAGGAUAGUUGUGCCUGCACUACAAGGAGGGUGAUUUAGAAUCUCCUGCAACCAGACACUUCCUUUCUGCUGAAAUCACUACAGCACUCUAGCCCAGGCAAAAUGGUGGCCGAGACAACCGACAUUUGUUCUUUCCAUCCUACCACGUAGUCAUCAAACUGCUGGGCCUUGGGUUGGAGAAGAGGAGCAGAGGAUUGAUUUAGGAUGUAUCUACACUGAAGUACCGAGUGCAGUCUAGCUACAGGAGUCCGUAACUUUCCUUUUU
Molecule: long non-coding RNA, 646 nt
Organism: Dromaius novaehollandiae (emu)
Lineage: Eukaryota; Metazoa; Chordata; Aves; Casuariiformes; Dromaiidae
Exons: 4
Source: RefSeq, a predicted model, not a curated record